RNAcentral lists this long non-coding RNA (378 nucleotides) under Salvia miltiorrhiza (redroot sage). RNAcentral's name for it is "long non-coding RNA (SMIL_LNC012553)". Lineage: Eukaryota; Viridiplantae; Streptophyta; Magnoliopsida; Lamiales; Lamiaceae. The record is from RNAcentral.
GACCGCCGACGAGCUCUUCUUCGACGGCAAGAUCCUCCCCAUCCAAAUCAGUAACCACCUCGCUCCACCCUCGCCGCCUUCUCCAGCUCUACCACCGUCUCAAACAUCCGCCGAAUCGAAAAAGAACUUGGCUCUCUGCCAGUCUACCCGCUGGCUCUCUUGUCCGGUAAGUCACCAACGCAGGCCGUAGAUUGAGAAUCUGAGAUUGUAUUUUCAGUUUGAGCAUAGGUUGAAUUGUUGAUUUAUUGGAUAUGUUUGAGAAUUUGAAUUGAUAAUCUAAGACUGUAGUUUUACUUUUGUGUUCAAUUAUUUCGAUGAUAAUUUUAAGGUUGUACUGGAGCAAGAUAUAGUCUGGACAUUAUUAUUAAUGAAAGUUGA